Molecule: long non-coding RNA, 431 nt
Organism: Onychostoma macrolepis
Lineage: Eukaryota; Metazoa; Chordata; Actinopteri; Cypriniformes; Cyprinidae
Exons: 3
Source: RefSeq, a predicted model, not a curated record
UUAGCAUAAAAGGACGCCAACUUGAGGCAGCACCUGCUUAUAAACAGAAAGCGAUGAAAGGCUCGGGCAGCAGACUAAACAAGUGGAACUUCCUCUAUAGGUGAAAGGGCAAAUAACAAGCAUUUUUGCAGAGCCGCAGCUCUCUGGAUCACCUGGGCCGUCUUAUCCUGACUGGUCAACUGCGCAAGAAAUCAUGAAAAAAAGACAUAAAAGCCAGUUGAGAAAGAACAGAAACCAUCCAUUUUUGCUAAAUAUUUACAGAAACGUAAAAGGAAUAUUCCACAAUCCAUAAACUCCACGCUGACCCUGAUGAUGCAUGAGUCGUCCACCUGUCUGUUGUAGAACGGCAGGGAGGUCAUGGAGACAGAGCGCUUGUGGGAGGAGACCAGGUGAGGGUCAGCUGAUGCAGAAAAAGAAGAGGAGGAGGAGGA